CAUGCCGUAAACGAUGUCAACUAGCCGUUGGGGACCUUGAGUCUUUAGUGGCGCAGCUAACGCGAUAAGUUGACCGCCUGGGGAGUACGGCCGCAAGGUUAAAACUCAAAUGAAUUGACGGGGGCCCGCACAAGCGGUGGAGCAUGUGGUUUAAUUCGAUGCAACGCGAAGAACCUUACCUGGCCUUGACAUGUCUGGAAUCCUGCAGAGAUGCGGGAGUGCCUUCGGGAAUCAGAACACAGGUGC
This 246-nucleotide ribosomal RNA is filed under the name uncultured bacterium. RNAcentral's name for it is "partial 16S ribosomal RNA". It matches the Rfam family "Bacterial small subunit ribosomal RNA", at positions 796 to 1041 of the family's 1533-position model. The record is from RNAcentral.